RNAcentral lists this ribosomal RNA (1502 nucleotides) under uncultured bacterium. RNAcentral describes it as "bacterial SSU rRNA". It matches the Rfam family "Bacterial small subunit ribosomal RNA". The record is from RNAcentral.
GAUGAACGCUGGCGGCGUGCCUAAUACAUGCAAGUCGAGCGAACAGACGAGGAGCUUGCUCCUCUGAAGUUAGCGGCGGACGGGUGAGUAACACGUGGAUAACCUACCUAUAAGACUGGGAUAACUUCGGGAAACCGGAGCUAAUACCGGAUAACAUGUUGAACCGCAUGGUUCAACGGUGAAAGAUGGUCUUGCUGUCACUUAUAGAUGGAUCCGCGCCGCAUUAGCUAGUUGGUAAGGUAACGGCUUACCAGGGCAACGAUGCGUAGCCGACCUGAGAGGGUGAUCGGCCACACUGGAACUGAGACACGGUCCAGACUCCUACGGGAGGCAGCAGUAGGGAAUCUUCCGCAAUGGGCAAAAGCCUGACGGAGCAACGCCGCGUGAGUGAAGAAGGUCUUCGGAUCGUAAAACUCUGUUAUUAGGGAAGAACAAAUGUGUAAGUAACUAUGCACGUCUUGACGGUACCUAAUCAGAAAGCCACGGCUAACUACGUGCCAGCAGCCGCGGUAAUACGUAGGUGGCAAGCGUUAUCCGGAAUUAUUGGGCGUAAAGCGCGCGUAGGCGGUUUUUUAAGUCUGAUGUGAAAGCCCACGGCUCAACCGUGGAGGGUCAUUGGAAACUGGAAAACUUGAGUGCAGAAGAGGAAAGUGGAAUUCCAUGUGUAGCGGUGAAAUGCGCAGAGAUAUGGAGGAACACCAGUGGCGAAGGCGACUUUCUGGUCUGUAACUGACGCUGAUGUGCGAAAGCGUGGGGAUCGAACAGGAUUAGAUACCCUGGUAGUCCACGCCGUAAACGAUGAGUGCUAAGUGUUAGGGGGUUUCCGCCCCUUAGUGCUGCAGCUAACGCAUUAAGCACUCCGCCUGGGAGUACGACCGCAAGGUUGAAACUCAAAGGAAUUGACGGGGACCCGCACAAGCGGUGGAGCAUGUGGUUUAAUUCGAAGCAACGCGAAGAACCUUACCAAAUCUUGACAUCCUCUGACCCCUCUAGAGAUAGAGUUUUCCCCUUCGGGGGACAGAGUGACAGGUGGUGCAUGGUUGUCGUCAGCUCGUGUCGUGAGAUGUUGGGUUAAGUCCCGCAACGAGCGCAACCCUUAAGCUUAGUUGCCAUCAUUAAGUUGGGCACUCUAAGUUGACUGCCGAUGACAAACCGGAGGAAGGUGGGGAUGACGUCAAAUCACCAUGCCCCUUAUGAUUUGGGCUACACACGUGCUACAAUGGACAAUACAAAGGGUAGCGAAACCGCGAGGUCAAGCAAAUCCCAUAAAGUUGUCCUCAGUUCGGAUUGUAGUCUGCAACUCGACUACAUAAAGCUGGAAUCGCUAGUAAUCGUAGAUCAGCAUGCUACGGUGAAUACGUUCCCGGGUCUCGUACACACCGCCCGUCACACCAUGAGAGUUUGUAACACCCGAAGCCGGUGGAGUAACCUUUUGGAGCUAGCCGUCGAAGGUGGGACAAAUGAUUGGGGUGAAGUCGUAACAAGGUAGCCGUAUCGGAAGG